RNAcentral lists this transfer RNA (69 nucleotides) under Quasipaa cf. spinosa KR-2003. Its description in RNAcentral is "tRNA-Val". Lineage: Eukaryota; Metazoa; Chordata; Amphibia; Anura; Dicroglossidae. The record is from RNAcentral.
CAAAAUGUAGCUUAACAAAAGCCUCUUGCUUACACCAAGAAAAUACCCGUGAAAUUCGGAUCAUUUUGA